CCUACGGGAGGCUGCAGUGAGGAAUAUUGGUCAAUGGACGAGAGUCUGAACCAGCCAAGUAGCGUGAAGGAUGACUGCCCUAUGGGUUGUAAACUUCUUUUAUAUGGGAAUAAAACGUUCCACGUGUGGGAUUUUGUAUGUACCAUAUGAAUAAGGAUCGGCUAACUCCGUGCCAGCAGCCGCGGUAAUACGGAGGAUCCGAGCGUUAUCCGGAUUUAUUGGGUUUAAAGGGAGCGUAGGUGGAUGGUUAAGUCAGUUGUGAAAGUUUGCGGCUCAACCGUAAAAUUGCAGUUGAAACUGGCAGUCUUGAGGACAGUAGAGGUGGGCGGAAUUCGUGGUGUAGCGGUGAAAUGCGUAGAUAUCACGAAGAACACCGAUUGCGAAGGCAGUUCACUGGACUGCAACUGACACUGAGGCUCGAAAGUGUGGGUAUCAAACAGGAUUAGAUACCCUUGUAGUC
Molecule: ribosomal RNA, 460 nt
Filed under: uncultured bacterium
Lineage: Bacteria
Description: partial 16S ribosomal RNA
Rfam family: Bacterial small subunit ribosomal RNA
Source: RNAcentral